This 467-nucleotide ribosomal RNA is filed under the name uncultured bacterium. RNAcentral describes it as "partial 16S ribosomal RNA". It matches the Rfam family "Bacterial small subunit ribosomal RNA", at positions 28 to 507 of the family's 1533-position model. The record is from RNAcentral.
GACGAACGCUGGCGGCGUGCCUAACACAUGCAAGUCGAACGGAAAGGUCCUGCUCUUGCGGGGUGCUCGAGUGGGGAACGGGUGAGUAACACGUGAGUAAACUGUCCCUGUCAGAGGGAUAACUUCAGGAAACACGGGCGCAUAUCGGAUAGGAUAUACUGAAGCAUGGUGGGGGAUGGAAAGUUUCGGCGGUUGGGGCAGGUCUCGCGGCUUAUCAGCCUGUUGGGGGGGUAGUGGCUUACCAAGGCUAUGACGGGUAGCCGGCCUGAGAGGGUGACCGGCUACAUAGGGACAGAGGUACGGGCCGUACUCAUACUGGCGGCAAGAGUGGGAAAUAGAGCACAAUGGGCGGAAGGAUGAAGGAACAACGCCGGGUGGGGGAUGACGGCUACGAGUUGUAAACCACUUUCGCCUGUGACGAAGCGUGAGUGACGGUAAUGGGUAAAGAAGCACCGGCUAACUACGUG